This 1442-nucleotide ribosomal RNA is filed under the name uncultured organism. RNAcentral describes it as "SSU rRNA". It matches the Rfam family "Bacterial small subunit ribosomal RNA". The record is from RNAcentral.
ACGCUAGCUACAGGCUUAACACAUGCAAGUCGAGGGGCAUCAGGAAGAAAGCUUGCUUUCUUUGCUGGCGACCGGCGCACGGGUGAGUAACACGUAUCCAACCUGCCCUUUACUCGGGGAUAGCCUUUCGAAAGAAAGAUUAAUACCCGAUAGCAUAAUGAUUCCGCAUGGUUUCAUUAUUAAAGGAUUCCGGUAAAGGAUGGGGAUGCGUUCCAUUAGGUUGUUGGUGAGGUAACGGCCCACCAAGCCUUCGAUGGAUAGGGGUUCUGAGAGGAAGGUCCCCCACAUUGGAACUGAGACACGGUCCAAACUCCUACGGGAGGCAGCAGUGAGGAAUAUUGGUCAAUGGGCGCUAGCCUGAACCAGCCAAGUAGCGUGAAGGAUGAAGGCUCUAUGGGUCGUAAACUUCUUUUAUAUAAGAAUAAAGUGCAGUAUGUAUACUGUUUUGUAUGUAUUAUAUGAAUAAGGAUCGGCUAACUCCGUGCCAGCAGCCGCGGUAAUACGGAGGAUCCGAGCGUUAUCCGGAUUUAUUGGGUUUAAAGGGAGCGUAGGUGGACUGGUAAGUCAGUUGUGAAAGUUUGCGGCUCAACCGUAAAAUUGCAGUUGAUACUGUCAGUCUUGAGUACAGUAGAGGUGGGCGGAAUUCGUGGUGUAGCGGUGAAAUGCUUAGAUAUCACGAAGAACUCCGAUUGCGAAGGCAGCUCACUGGACUGCAACUGACACUGAUGCUCGAAAGUGUGGGUAUCAAACAGGAUUAGAUACCCUGGUAUUCCACACAGUAAACGAUGAAUACUCGCUGUUUGCGAUAUACAGUAAGCGGCCAAGCGAAAGCAUUAAGUAUUCCACCUGGGGAGUACGCCGGCAACGGUGAAACUCAAAGGAAUUGACGGGGGCCCGCACAAGCGGAGGAACAUGUGGUUUAAUUCGAUGAUACGCGAGGAACCUUACCCGGGCUUAAAUUGCAGUGGAAUGAUGUGGAAACAUGUCAGUGAGCAAUCACCGCUGUGAAGGUGCUGCAUGGUUGUCGUCAGCUCGUGCCGUGAGGUGUCGGCUUAAGUGCCAUAACGAGCGCAACCCUUAUCUUUAGUUACUAACAGGUUAUGCUGAGGACUCUAGAGAGACUGCCGUCGUAAGAUGUGAGGAAGGUGGGGAUGACGUCAAAUCAGCACGGCCCUUACGUCCGGGGCUACACACGUGUUACAAUGGGGGGUACAGAAGGCAGCUAGCGGGUGACCGUAUGCUAAUCCCAAAAUCCUCUCUCAGUUCGGAUCGAAGUCUGCAACCCGACUUCGUGAAGCUGGAUUCGCUAGUAAUCGCGCAUCAGCCACGGCGCGGUGAAUACGUUCCCGGGCCUUGUACACACCGCCCGUCAAGCCAUGGGAGCCGGGGGUACCUGAAGUACGUAACCGCAAGGAUCGUCCUAGGGUAAAACUGGUGAAAGG